This 98-nucleotide microRNA precursor is filed under the name Marmota monax (woodchuck). The record is from RNAcentral. Lineage: Eukaryota; Metazoa; Chordata; Mammalia; Rodentia; Sciuridae.
AUAUGAACCACCUGAGUAAUCUUGUUGAAAGGCAGGUUUUAAUUCAGUAGAUUUGUGGUGAAACCUGAGAUUCUAACAAGUCCCCAGGAGAUGGAUAU